Molecule: ribosomal RNA, 292 nt
Filed under: uncultured bacterium
Lineage: Bacteria
Also listed under: 2 other names
Description: partial 16S ribosomal RNA
Source: RNAcentral
GGACUACUCGGGUUUCUAAUCCCGUUCGCUACCCUAGCUUUCGUGCCUCAGCGUCAGAAAAGACCCAGUGAGCCGCUUUCGCCACGGGUGUUCCUUAGGAUAUCAACGCAUUUCACCGCUCCACCCUAAGUUCCGCUCACCUCUGUCUCCCUCGAGCACGGUAGUUUUGAGCGCUAUUCCUCGGUUGAGCCGAGGGAUUUCACACCCAACUUUCCGCGCAGCCUACGCACCCUUUAAGCCCAGUGAUUCCGAAUAACGUUCGUACGGUUCGUCUUACCGCGGCUGCUGGCAC